AAAAAAUCUCGUGGUGCGUAUAAUAACACGGGCAAACUUGGUAUUCUAGUUUUUGCAUUGGCUUGUUGGAUGCAUCUAAUAGUGUCAGUUCAUCAUUUUCCCUAGUCAAGUGGGCACUUGAUACAUAUGGUGUAUGGACUUGACAAAACUGCUUUUAAUACUAUUUAAAAGAAAAUGUGACUUCAAAGCAAGGGACAUAGAUAACUAAGCUUGAGAGAGAAGAAGGGACAUAAAGAUAUAUGGGUGAAUGAUUCAGAAUUAUUGUCUAGACACCUUUGAGAGGGAGAAAUGUCCUAUGUGGGGUGAUAGUUUUCUAAUAACUUGGGAUGCAAAUUUAAAUUCCCAUCAAAUAAAAUGUAUCAAUUAAUUGCAUAUUUCUUUUGUAUGUUACAACAUAUUUAGUAAUAACUUUUACAUGAAUUGACUUAGUACUAUUGCUACUUGGAGAAUUGACUCAACAUUUAACAUUUUACAUUAGGAUAAACUAUUUUUUUUGCAUAACUGCUGUUUUUUACUUUCAUACAAGUAGUAAAAAAAAUAUUCAAGGUAUG
This 551-nucleotide unclassified non-coding RNA is filed under the name Hevea brasiliensis (rubber tree). The record is from RNAcentral. Lineage: Eukaryota; Viridiplantae; Streptophyta; Magnoliopsida; Malpighiales; Euphorbiaceae.